This 497-nucleotide ribosomal RNA is filed under the name uncultured bacterium. RNAcentral's name for it is "partial 16S ribosomal RNA". It matches the Rfam family "Bacterial small subunit ribosomal RNA", at positions 28 to 507 of the family's 1533-position model. The record is from RNAcentral.
GACGAACGCUGGCGGCGUGCCUAAUACAUGCAAGUUGAGCGAUGAAGAUUGGUGCUUGCACCAAUUUGAAGAGCAGCGAACGGGUGAGUAACGCGUGGGGAAUCUGCCUUUGAGCGGGGGACAACAUUUGGAAACGAAUGCUAAUACCGCAUAACAACUUUAAACAUAAGUUUUAAGUUUGAAAGAUGCAAUUGCAUCACUCAAAGAUGAUCCCGCGUUGUAUUAGCUAGUUGGUGAGGUAAAGGCUCACCAAGGCGAUGAUACAUAGCCGACCUGAGAGGGUGAUCGGCCACGUUGGGACUGGGACACGGCCCAAACUCCUACGGGAGGCAGCAGUAGGGAAUCUUCGGCAAUGGACGAAAGUCUGACCGAGCAACGCCGCGUGAGUGAAGAAGGUUUUCGGAUCGUAAAACUCUGUUGGUAGAGAAGAACGUUGGUGAGAGUGGAAAGCUCAUCAAGUGACGGUAACUACCCAGAAAGGGACGGCUAACUACGUG